GUGCCAGAGCUGACCCACCUGUUCAAGUGUAAAAAACUUACAAUAGCUUAUAAGAGGUAAAAGUAGCUUACAAACCCCCCAAAUUGAAAAAGCAUGCAUCAUGCAUCCUUGUUUCUUUUUUAAUAAAUACAAUCUAUACUAGAGAGAGAGGAAAUUAUAACUGAACAAAAACAUAACUGCUGAAAAUUCUAUCCCAAAUGUCAAUCAUAUGCCAAAAUUUUAAGGUAGAAAGGGACAUGAAAAAUUAGUGUGGUCAAUUAGACCCAGAUUUGCAAGGUUCAUAUAAACUUGUCAUGUAUGUCCAAGGAUAAGAAACCAUAUAUUCUGGCAGGAGCCUUGUACAAUGUCCUAAUCCUGUGUAGUGACAGAACACAAAAGGCACAGAACAAAUGCUAGGUACAGGCAGAAAUCUCAUCUGCUAAAAACAAACUGCUUUACAGAUAGCAUCACCUGUUCACUUUUG
RNAcentral lists this unclassified non-coding RNA (463 nucleotides) under Hevea brasiliensis (rubber tree). The record is from RNAcentral. Lineage: Eukaryota; Viridiplantae; Streptophyta; Magnoliopsida; Malpighiales; Euphorbiaceae.